ACCCGCGCCCAGAGCAGACCGGGACCCACACUCCUUGCUCAGCUGCCAUGGAACCCUCCACUGCUGCUUCCUCAUCUGUACCCUCCGAAUUGUAACGGGCAAAGUGUGACCACGAAACGAGCUCCUCGUAAGGCAGCUGCCUCUGUGCCUGCCCGGCCCCCAGAAGGUUCGGAUUUAGGUUGGUGCCGUACAUCCGAGCCCCCUUCUCUCGAACCUGGGUGGACAGAUCAAGUCCCAAGGGUUUUAGUAGUUUAGUAGUGUGUAAAUCCACGUAAACAGGACGGCCCGUUGCGACCGUCCCCAGGCUUCGGGUCCCGGGAGAGGCGGAGAAGAGCAGAGGCUGCAGUGUCUUCGGUCCAAGGCUUAUCUCACUUUGGAGAUUAGCAGGGCGGGGCGUUACUUGCAACCACGUUUUAAUGGGCGGCAAGUAUUGCCUUUCAAGCUGUGUGGGGUUUUGCUCUGUUUUGUUUCUGGCUGGAUUAAUUUGCAAGUGAAAAGUUCUGGGACGUCCUCGUGAGGUUGACUCAGACGAGCAAAGAAAGAGAAAGAAAUUAUUUUCACCCAAGUCUGUGCUGAACUGAUAGACGUCAAGUGUCCGAGGGGGCAGCCCUGAGGAGAUGGAGGAGCUGAGAAGCUGCGUGGGACUGUCCUGGGGGCUGCUGAGAGCCACUGGAAAUGCCACGUUCGACUCCCCAGAGAGCCCCGGGAAGCCUGGUCCUCGAGCUGCAGGCCGCGAAGCUCGGGGGUGCAGGAGCACUGCCCUCCUGGCCUGCUUCGAGGGCCCAGCUGCUGUCCGCCCCCCGACAGGGAAGAAGCAGGCCACGAGUCCAGAGUGCUUCCAGUCGUAAAAGGCACCCCCGUUCUGGUCAGAAAUGAUCCCCAAAGAAGGGAGCCCCGGACAGUGGACGCUGAAGCUGCCGGCAGACCUCGCGGCUGUGUGGGCAGAGCUGGGGAGCCAGCCCCGGCCCUGGGACAGCUGCCUGUCUGCGUUUCCACGGCAACGCACGGAGGGAUGCCAAGCCUCCUGCCUUUAUAGACAAAUGCUUAUGUCCUCUAUCUUUUUCCCAAAUCACCCCCGAAAACAGUUGACGAUUCCUGACCUCUGCCCCUUCCCCACCUCUCUGGAAGAGAGGGCCCAGGACACCUGCGGAGUUGAUUGCUGCCCAGGUGCACAGGUAGCGCUCCCAGAGGGAGACGCAUUUUGGAGACUGAGGACUGUGCCCUUGGCGGAGAGAGGGCCGGCUCUCCCCUCGCCUUUGUCCAGCGAACUGCCCUGCCUAAGGACAGAGCGUGGCCUUGAUGGGACACUUUGCUGUCUGAGCCUCGGUGUCUGUAACAGUGAAACUCUAAAAGCUUUUGAAAUGCAAACAGACUGGCCCUGGCCCUCUUGGAGCACCACCCAAGGAUUUCAUGGCUCCAGGCAGGAGGGAUACACUAGUCCCAAUGUUGGCUGAGCCUUUUCUCCAAGUUUCUAUUCCUAGAAGGUUAUAACUAUGAGUCAGAAAAUUACCAUAAAUUACCCUGGGGCUGGGGCUGGGGGUAGGCUGAAGGCCAGGGGGGGUUGGGAAAUCACCUCCCCAAGGGGACCACUCCCACCACUGGCAGAGCCCAGAGCCAACAUUGGAACCUGAACCUGAGAGUCCAGACUUUGGGGGUGGGGUGCUGCUGGUCAUGAUCAAGCUUCUGGCACUUGAAAACGGCAGCGGUCUGGGGUCAGGACACAGACAACAACACAGAGACACAGUCCCUUCCUCCACAUCCUAAUUUUGUGAGUUCUCUUAGGAAAAUAUGUCAUACAAAUGAAGUUAAAACCCAACAAUAAUCCCAGUUUUUGAAAUGGUAUAAAACUGGGGCGCCUGAGUGGCUGAGUUUGGUUAAGCGUCUGAUUUAGGCUCAGAUUAUGAUCUCAAGGUUCGUGGGCUCAAGCCCCGCAUCGGGCUCUCUGCUGUCAGCGCAGAGCCUGCUUGGAUCCUCUGUCCCUCUCUUUCUCUGUCCCUCCCCCGCUCGUGCUCUCCCUCAGAAAUAAGACAAGCAUUUUUUUAAAACGGGGGGCGCCUGGGUGGCGCAGUCGGUUAAGCGUCCGACUUCAGCCAGGUCACGAUCUCGCGGUCUGUGAGUUCGAGCCCCGCGUCGGGCUCUGGGCUGAUGGCUCAGAGCCUGGAGCCUGUUUCUGAUUCUGUGUCUCCCUCUCUCUCUGCCCCUCCCCCGUUCAUGCUCUGUCUCUCUCUGUCCCAAAUAUAAAUAAACGUUGAAAAAAAAAAAAAUUUUAAAAUGGU
This 2276-nucleotide long non-coding RNA is filed under the name Felis catus (domestic cat). RNAcentral describes it as "lncRNA (ENSFCAG00000046156.2)". The stretch from base 1855 to 1940 matches the Rfam family "tRNA". The record is from RNAcentral. Lineage: Eukaryota; Metazoa; Chordata; Mammalia; Carnivora; Felidae.